AACGAACGCUGGCGGCAUGCCUAACACAUGCAAGUCGAACGAUACCUUCGGGUCUAGUGUCGCACGGGUGCGUAACGCGUGGGAACCUGCCCUUAGGUUCGGAAUAACUCCCCGAAAGGGGUGCUAAUACCGGAUAAUGUCUUCGGACCAAAGAUUUAUCGCCUUUGGAUGGGCCCGCGUUGGAUUAGCUAGUUGGUAGGGUAAAAGCCUACCAAGGCGACGAUCCAUAGCUGGUCUGAGAGGAUGAUCAGCCACACUGGGACUGAGACACGGCCCAGACUCCUACGGGAGGCAGCAGUGGGGAAUAUUGGACAAUGGGCGAAAGCCUGAUCCAGCAAUGCCGCGUGAGUGAUGAAGGCCUUAGGGUUGUAAAGCUCUUUUACCCGGGAUGAUAAUGACAGUACCGGGAGAAUAAGCUCCGGCUAACUACGUG
Molecule: ribosomal RNA, 433 nt
Filed under: uncultured bacterium
Lineage: Bacteria
Description: partial 16S ribosomal RNA
Rfam family: Bacterial small subunit ribosomal RNA
Source: RNAcentral